This is an RNA transcript of Nicotiana tabacum (common tobacco), 676 nucleotides long. RefSeq lists it as uncharacterized. Lineage: Eukaryota; Viridiplantae; Streptophyta; Magnoliopsida; Solanales; Solanaceae. The record is from RefSeq and is a predicted model, not a curated record.
UUGGAGAAAUUAUGUGCCCGUUUCAUUUGCUUCUAAACCACGUGUUCUUUAUUCCGGCGGCCAGAGAAAUAUUAGUUUUUCCUCAUUCUCUGUGCAUACUUUCAACUAAUGCUCCUUCAAGCAUUUCAGUUCUCUUCAUCUUCUUCGUUCAUUUUCAUCUUCUCAACCGAUGUUGUAAUUUCAGAGAAAGUUUUUCCCCAUGUGGAAGCGUCAACAUUGGUGUUUAUUGCUUCUUUUUGUUUGCAGAGUGAUCAUUCUACUAUGGAAAUUGAGGUAGUUAGAUAUUAGACAUUUUUGCUUGAAAAAUGGUGGUUUUACUUUUAUUUUCUGGGUGAAAAAUUUCUCAAAAAUUGUAGCGGAGACAAUUUUAGAUUUUCACAGUGAACAUUCCAUUCAGGAAAUGAAUGGAAGAUGUACUUCAACAGUGAUUUUCAAGUCUUUGUUUAACUUCAACGAGGCAUGUGGACUUCCUAUAGCUAUUUGGAAAAAAUAAUUCAUGGAUUACGUACAUGUGAGAAAUACAUGUAGCAUUUGGUUGGACUUCUUCGUGAAUGUAAUAUGAAGAGCGGAGCAAGAUUUUCAGUACUUGAAUGCUCUGAUGCAAAAUUAUUUCUUAUUUCAAAACUGCAGUUAUUUUGUUAUUAUGUGACUUACUGUUGCUGAUUUCCAAGUGUCA